This 73-nucleotide transfer RNA is filed under the name Prototheca wickerhamii. RNAcentral's name for it is "tRNA-Cys". It matches the Rfam family "tRNA". From Rfam's summary of the family: Transfer RNA (tRNA) molecules are approximately 80 nucleotides in length. Lineage: Eukaryota; Viridiplantae; Chlorophyta; Trebouxiophyceae; Chlorellales; Chlorellaceae. The record is from RNAcentral.
GGCGGCAUAGCCAAGUGGUAAGGCAAAGGAUUGCAAAUCCUUCAUUCCCUCAGUUCAAAUCUGAGUGCCGCCU